CCGAGCUGAGCUGUCCGCAUCAGCUGCCACGGGGAAGCUGAAAUUGAAUACGCAGUCCUGUAAAUUGGUUACAGAAACACAGUUCAGAAGGAGAAAGCUAGUCAGAAUGAUCAAAAGCAGGAGGGCCUAAUACCAGUGGACACCUCGGUAAAACAAUUGUAAAAUUUGAGCCACUGCCCGGAGCGGAGAGAUAUCUGAGGAUCUCCAUUUAUGCACCAAGCUGGAAUCUGGAAUGUGCUUUGCUUCUCUCAUGGCCUGAACUAAAUACGCUGAAACAGAUGAAGAGGGUUCCUGGGGUCCCAAGACAGAAAGAACAACGACAAAAGUAUCAUAACCAAGAAAGGAAAAGAUAUCUGUAA
Long non-coding RNA from Bos taurus (domestic cattle), 359 nucleotides. The record is from Ensembl. Lineage: Eukaryota; Metazoa; Chordata; Mammalia; Artiodactyla; Bovidae.